RNAcentral lists this unclassified non-coding RNA (766 nucleotides) under Hevea brasiliensis (rubber tree). Lineage: Eukaryota; Viridiplantae; Streptophyta; Magnoliopsida; Malpighiales; Euphorbiaceae. The record is from RNAcentral.
AAGCAAGUGAUGUUUUUUGGGGAUUUUGUAACCUUGAAGGAUGAAAAGUCUUUCUUCGAGUAACAAUUGCUUUAGCAGUUUAGGACAGAGUGCCUUGAGGAUCAUUUUAUAUAAAAUUUUGGUGAUGGACCUUUGGUCUAAUUUAUACAUGUUCUUCACAGCACGAUAUCAACAAAAUGUUGGUGUUUUAGGAUAGAGUUUGCCUAUCUACUGGUUUAUCAAAACAAAGAAAUAAUUAGAAGAGUAAAUAGGCCACUCUUAUUGUUAAUUGUGCCUUUGUUCGUUUACUAAAAUGAUACUAGGAGUAAUUAUUUGUGACUAGAAGAAUAUAUAAGCCAUCUUAUUGUUUCAGCUCUUUCUCAUUGCUUACUCUGUUACUCUUACUAAUUGUGAAUUUGUUUGUUUACCAAAAUGAUACUAGGAAUAAUCAUCUGCCCUUUAUUUAUACAUUAGUUAUUUUGUCAAUGCCCUAUAAACUAUAUAUUAAUGAGAAAGCUCACACUUGUGUGGCAGUUGAUUUUGCCUUUCGGUAAGAGGUUCAUCAAAUUUAUGUAGCUGUUAUAUGAAUUUCCAAAUAGGCUCAUCGAUUUGAUAUCAGGGCCACAUCUCAGUAUGUAGAUUGAAGUGUACUCUAGAAGUACAAAGUUUCUGUAUAUUAUUCUUUAGUAAGAUUUUACCAUUGGCUAAAUUUGCACAUUUACUGCUUUGUAUAAAAUAUUUCUGAUUGCUGUUAUGCGAUUUAAGGAACCCUAUUCAUGGAAGGAGA